AGAGUUUGAUCAUGGCUCAGAUUGAACGCUGGCGGCAGGCCUAACACAUGCAAGUCGAGCGGAUGAGGGGUGCUUGCACCCCGAUUCAGCGGCGGACGGGUGAGUAAUGCCUAGGAAUCUGCCCGAUAGUGGGGGACAACGUUUCGAAAGGAACGCUAAUACCGCAUACGUCCUACGGGAGAAAGUGGGGGCUCUUCGGACCUCACGCUAUCGGAUGAGCCUAGGUCGGAUUAGCUAGUUGGUGGGGUAAAGGCCCACCAAGGCGACGAUCCGUAACUGGUCUGAGAGGAUGAUCAGUCACACUGGAACUGAGACACGGUCCAGACUCCUACGGGAGGCAGCAGUGGGGAAUAUUGGACAAUGGGCGAAAGCCUGAUCCAGCCAUGCCGCGUGUGUGAAGAAGGUCUUCGGAUUGUAAAGCACUUUAAGUCGGGAGGAAGGGCUGUAGGUUAAUACCCUGCGGUUUUGACGUUACCGACAGAAUAAGCACCGGCUAACUUCGUGCCAGCAGCCGCGGUAAUACGAAGGGUGCAAGCGUUAAUCGGAAUUACUGGGCGUAAAGCGCGCGUAGGUGGUUUGGUAAGUUGGAUGUGAAAGCCCCGGGCUCAACCUGGGAACUGCAUCCAAAACUGCCUGACUAGAGUACGGUAGAGGGUGGUGGAAUUUCCUGUGUAGCGGUGAAAUGCGUAGAUAUAGGAAGGAACACCAGUGGCGAAGGCGACCACCUGGACUGAUACUGACACUGAGGUGCGAAAGCGUGGGGGAGCAAACAGGAUUAGAUACCCUGGUAGUCCACGCCGUAAAACGAUGUCGACUAGCCGUUGGGCUCCCUUGAGAGCUAGUGGCGCAGCUAACGCAUUAAGUCUACCCGCCUGGGGAGUACGGCCCGCAAGGUUAAAACUCAAAGGAAUU
Molecule: ribosomal RNA, 912 nt
Filed under: uncultured bacterium
Lineage: Bacteria
Description: bacterial SSU rRNA
Rfam family: Bacterial small subunit ribosomal RNA
Source: RNAcentral